GACGAACGCUGGCGGCGUGCUUAACACAUGCAAGUCGAACGGAAAGGCCCUGCUUGUGUGGUGUGCUCGAGUGGCGAACGGGUGAGUAACACGUAAGUAACCGGCCCUUGACUUUGGGAUGACUUCAGGAAACUGGGGCUAAUACCGGAUAGGAUCUCCUGCUGCAUGGUGGGGGGUGGAAAGUUUCGGCUGUUGGGGAUGGACUCGCGGCUUAUCAGCUGGUUGGUUGGGUAGUGGCUUACCAAGGCUUUGAAGGGUAGCCGGCCUGAGAGGGUGACCGGCCACAUUGGGACUGAGAUACGGCCCAGACUCCUACGGGAGGCAGCAGUGGGGAAUAUUGCACAAUGGGCGGAAGCCUGAUGCAGAAACGCCGCGUGCGGGAUGACGGCCUUCGGGUUGUAAACCGCUUUCGCCUGUGACGAAGCGUGAGUGACGGUACUGGGUAAAGAAGCACCGGCUAACUACGUG
This 468-nucleotide ribosomal RNA is filed under the name uncultured bacterium. Its description in RNAcentral is "partial 16S ribosomal RNA". It matches the Rfam family "Bacterial small subunit ribosomal RNA", at positions 28 to 507 of the family's 1533-position model. The record is from RNAcentral.